AACCUUACACUCAUGGUUUCUCAGUGUCUUCACGGUUCCAGAAUCUUGUGGCUUUGGUCUUGAUUGGAAUUGAAUCCCUUGCAAUUUUUAAGAAAGAUGAGAGGAGGACCUCCUAACUUGCAGAUUGAAUCCUUUUUCUUCCAGCUCUCAGGACCCGGGCAACUGAAGCUCCAUUCUACUUCUACCAAUUAACAUGGUCUCCUUCCUCAGCCCCCUUUCCCCUCCCCCUUCUUGAAAGAGGAAAAACUAUGACCUCUUGGAAACCAAAAUCCCAACCACAAAUCUCUUCAAGGUUAGCACUAUGCGCUAAAAAAAUGAAUCACAAAAAGAACGUGCCUUCAAAAUAUCAGUCUUAACUGUAAAACACAGAUAAAAACCAUCCUUUUAAUCCAGUUUUCCCAGCUGUCCUUCUGUUGGCAAUGGAGCCUCAAGCUCCAAACGGGGUGGGGUGGGGGAAUAAUUCUCUGGUCUUCAAUGCUUAAAAUGACAAGAGCAGGUAAUAUGUUCGAGAAAGCGAAUCAGAAAAAAAAAAUUGAAUAAAUCCGAAAUGGCACUUGGAAAAAAAUCUUCCAGCUGAUCCGCACGGUAAAAAAAAUAAAUAAAUAAAACCAUACAAUAGUAUGUACACAACAGCACUCCUCCCAGGUUCAGUGCAACCUCGGGAAACAAAAUCUGUGGAUUUUUUAAAAAAAAAAGCUUUUACAUUAAAGAGUUAAAGGUUUUGAAAUUCUGAAAUGAGCCAUUCACACCAAAAAAAAAAAAAAAAAAAAUCACAGAACACCUGAAAUGCAGUGGUUUUUUUACCUUUAAAAUGAGAGCAUUCGCCAAAACCAGAGAGAAGCUCUGAAAAUAUUCCCUGCUUUUUCCUUCAAACUCGCAGGUUUCCCACACCUACCCCAGCCUGGUUCUGAGCCCCAGACCUCGUUCGGCCUUUCUCCGACAGCCAAUUUCCUGAGUUAGUUCUGCCGUUUCUCUCCUCCACAUCCAGGCUCCGAAAGCCUCCCUCGCCUCAGCCUCCAUGAACCGGGGUCCGCUCCCCUCGCUGGGCGCCUGGCCCGCACGGCGGCGCCGCUGCUCUCGGUGGGGACGACGCGCGCGGCUCCGCCAAGCCUGGUGGCGCCGGCUCAGUAGUGGGGAUCGAACUUGGGUCCUUGUGCUUGAGCAGCAGCAGCAGCACCAGAAAAAGAAGAAGAAGAGGAGGAGGAGGAGGAGGAGCAAGAAGAAGAAGAGGAGGAGAAGAAGAAGAGGAAGAAGAAAGAAGAGGAGGAGGAAGCAGAAGAAGCAACUUUUCAAUUGUGGGCAGAAAUCCCAAGACCAAACUGGUUGUUUCUUCUAGAAAGAUGACUCUUUAAGUUAUUAUCAUUCUCCUUCCAGGGUGCUGUUCAGGGACAGGCCUGGCAAAAUAAAACUGCUACUGGAGA
This 1421-nucleotide long non-coding RNA is filed under the name Heterocephalus glaber (naked mole-rat). Its description in RNAcentral is "lncRNA (ENSHGLG00000030576.2)". The record is from RNAcentral. Lineage: Eukaryota; Metazoa; Chordata; Mammalia; Rodentia; Bathyergidae.